ACGCUCGACACCUACGGGAGCCAGCAGUGGGGAAUAUUGCACAAUGGGGGAAACCCUGAUGCAGCGACGCCGCGUGGAGGAAGAAGGUCUUCGGAUUGUAAACUCCUGUUGUUGGGGAAAAAGAGGAUGGUACCCAACAAGGAAGUGACGGCUAACUACGUGCCCGCAGCCGCGGUAAUCUGAGCGGGCUGGCAAGGC
RNAcentral lists this ribosomal RNA (198 nucleotides) under uncultured bacterium. RNAcentral's name for it is "partial 16S ribosomal RNA". It matches the Rfam family "Bacterial small subunit ribosomal RNA", at positions 328 to 539 of the family's 1533-position model. The record is from RNAcentral.